This 63-nucleotide transfer RNA is filed under the name Archimandrita tessellata. RNAcentral describes it as "tRNA-Glu". It matches the Rfam family "tRNA". Rfam says of the family: Transfer RNA (tRNA) molecules are approximately 80 nucleotides in length. Their secondary structure includes four short double-helical elements and three loops (D, anti-codon, and T loops). The record is from RNAcentral. Lineage: Eukaryota; Metazoa; Arthropoda; Insecta; Blattodea; Blaberidae.
AUUUAUAUAGUUUAAAGAAAACAUUACACUUUCACUGUAAAGAUAUUUAAUAGAUUAUAAAUU